CGGGGCGUAGCGCAGCUUGGUUAGCGCGCCUGCUUUGGGAGCAGGAGGUCGCCGGUUCGAAUCCGGCCGCCCCGACCG
RNAcentral lists this transfer RNA (78 nucleotides) under Actinomycetes bacterium. RNAcentral describes it as "Actinobacteria bacterium tRNA-Pro". It matches the Rfam family "tRNA". Rfam says of the family: Transfer RNA (tRNA) molecules are approximately 80 nucleotides in length. Their secondary structure includes four short double-helical elements and three loops (D, anti-codon, and T loops). The record is from RNAcentral. Lineage: Bacteria; Bacillati; Actinomycetota; Actinomycetes.